AUGCAAGUCGAGCGGACAGAUGGGAGCUUGCUCCCUGAUGUUAGCGGCGGACGGGUGAGUAACACGUGGGUAACCUGCCUGUAAGACUGGGAUAACUCCGGGAAACCGGGGCUAAUACCGGAUGCUUGUUUGAACCGCAUGGUUCAAACAUAAAAGGUGGCUUCGGCUACCACUUACAGAUGGACCCGCGGCGCAUUAGCUAGUUGGUGAGGUAACGGCUCACCAAGGCAACGAUGCGUAGCCGACCUGAGAGGGUGAUCGGCCACACUGGGACUGAGACACGGCCCAGACUCCUACGGGAGGCAGCAGUAGGGAAUCUUCCGCAAUGGACGAAAGUCUGACGGAGCAACGCCGCGUGAGUGAUGAAGGUUUUCGGAUCGUAAAGCUCUGUUGUUAGGGAAGAACAAGUACCGUUCGAAUAGGGCGGUACCUUGACGGUACCUAACCAGAAAGCCACGGCUAACUACGUGCCAGCAGCCGCGGUAAUACGUAGGUGGCAAGCGUUGUCCGGAAUUAUUGGGCGUAAAGGGCUCGCAGGCGGUUCCUUAAGUCUGAUGUGAAAGCCCCCGGCUCAACCGGGGAGGGUCAUUGGAAACUGGGGAACUUGAGUGCAGAAGAGGAGAGUGGAAUUCCACGUGUAGCGGUGAAAUGCGUAGAGAUGUGGACGAACACCAGUGGCGAAGGCGACUCUCUGGUCUGUAACUGACGCUGAGGAGCGACAGCGUGGAGAGCGAACAUGAUUACAUACGCUGGUACUCCACGCCGUACACGAUGACUGCUAACUGGUAAGGGGUCUCCGCUCCUCUGUGCUGCAGCUAAC
Molecule: ribosomal RNA, 820 nt
Filed under: Bacillus mojavensis
Lineage: Bacteria; Bacillati; Bacillota; Bacilli; Caryophanales; Bacillaceae
Description: bacterial SSU rRNA
Rfam family: Bacterial small subunit ribosomal RNA
Source: RNAcentral